CCUACGGGCGGCAGCAGUGGGGAAUUUUGGACAAUGGGGGCAACCCUGAUCCAGCCAUGCCGCGUGAGUGAAGAAGGCCUUCGGGUUGUAAAGCUCUUUCGGCCGGGAAGAAAUCGCUCAAGCUAAUACCUUGGGUGGAUGACGGUACCGGAAGAAGAAGCACCGGCUAACUACGUGCCAGCAGCCGCGGUAAUACGUAGGGUGCGAGCGUUAAUCGGAGCGUCUGCGCGUAAAGCGUGCGCACACGGCGGGAAUCCCCGGGCUUAACCGGGGAACUGCGGUUGUGACUGUGGUGCUCGAGUGCGGCAGAGGGGGGUGGAAUUCCACGUGUAGCAGUGAAAUGCGUAGAGAUGUGGAGGAACACCGAUGGCGAAGGCAGCCCCCUGGGUCGACACUGACGCUCAUGCACGAAAGCGUGGGGAGCAAACAGGAUUAGAUACCCCAGUAGUC
This 450-nucleotide ribosomal RNA is filed under the name uncultured bacterium. Its description in RNAcentral is "partial 16S ribosomal RNA". It matches the Rfam family "Bacterial small subunit ribosomal RNA", at positions 338 to 795 of the family's 1533-position model. The record is from RNAcentral.